CCUCUGACCACUCAGCCUUCCCUCCAUCAGGUGUCCCUCUGAGACAAAGAUCAAAUAAAGGCAGCAGGGCAAGUGCUGGGGGUCAUUUGGCUGCCAGGAUUCUGAUGGGAAGCAAAAUCAACUCCAAGAGGGCAAGAACAUGGAGCUAACUCGCCAGUGAUACCAGCUUCCAGAACAAUGUCUGCCUAUUCAAUGGGUAUGUAUUGUAUGUUGAAUGACUGAAUGAAGCAAACAAAUUUUAGGACUCCCUUUCCUGGGUACAUACUCUGCUUCCCAACCCUUCCUAGCUAAGCUGAGGUAAAAUGACCAUAUGCUGAAACGAGCACCUCCUAAGUGUUCAGUUUGAUGAUCUUGACAAUUGUAUAGACUCAGAUAACCAGCACCCAAAACAGGAUAUGGAACACAUCAGUGACUGACUCAAACCUUUCCCCUGGCCCAUAUCCCAGUCAAGUCCCCCUAUCCUGGGCAACACACUCUGACUUUUCUCACUGGAAGUGAGAUGUUCCCGUU
RNAcentral lists this long non-coding RNA (510 nucleotides) under Canis lupus familiaris (dog). RNAcentral's name for it is "lncRNA (ENSCAFG00040019551.1)". The record is from RNAcentral. Lineage: Eukaryota; Metazoa; Chordata; Mammalia; Carnivora; Canidae.